This 519-nucleotide ribosomal RNA is filed under the name uncultured bacterium. RNAcentral's name for it is "bacterial SSU rRNA". It matches the Rfam family "Bacterial small subunit ribosomal RNA", at positions 355 to 874 of the family's 1533-position model. The record is from RNAcentral.
UGAGGAAUAUUGGUCAAUGGCCGGAAGGCUGAACCAGCCAUCCCGCGUGCAGGAAGACGGCCCUAUGGGUUGUAAACUGCUUUUCUGUUAGAAGAACGGCCUCUACGUGUAGAGGAGUGACGGUAUAACAGGAAUAAGCAUCGGCUAACUCCGUGCCAGCAGCCGCGGUAAUACGGAGGAUGCAAGCGUUAUCCGGAUUCAUUGGGUUUAGAGGGUGCGCAGGCGGGCUUGUAAGUCGGUGGUGAAAUGCUGCCGCUUAACGGUAGAAUUGCCAUUGAUACUGCGAAUCUUGAGUACGAUUGAGGCAGGCGGAAUGUGUUGUGUAGCGGUGAAAUGCAUAGAUAUGACACAGAACGCCGAUUGCGAAGGCAGCUUGCCAAGUCAAUACUGACGCUCAUGCACGAAAGCGUGGGGAUCAAACAGGAUUAGAUACCCUGGUAGUCCACGCUGUAAACGAUGUUCACUCGCUGUUUGCGAUACACAGUAAGCGGCUAAGCGAAAGCAUUAAGUGAACCACCU